Molecule: ribosomal RNA, 213 nt
Filed under: uncultured bacterium
Lineage: Bacteria
Description: partial 16S ribosomal RNA
Rfam family: Bacterial small subunit ribosomal RNA
Source: RNAcentral
ACUCCUACGGGAGGCAGCAGUCGGGAAUUUUGCGCAAUGGACGAAAGUCUGACGCAGCAACGCCGCGUGAGGGAUGAAGGCCUUCGGGUUGUAAACCUCUUUUGUCAGGGACGAUGAUGACGGUACCUGGCGAAUAAGCCACGGCUAACUACGUGCCAGCAGCCGCGGUAACACGUAGGGGGCAAGCGUUGUCCGGAUUUAUUGGGCGUAAAG